UACGGGGGGAGCAAGCGUUGUUCGGAUUUACUGGGCGUAAAGGGCUCGUAGGCGGCCAACUAAGUCAGACGUGAAAUCCCUCGGCUUAACCGGGGAACUGCGUCUGAUACUGGAUGGCUAGAGUUUGGGAGAGGGAUGCGGAAUUCCAGGUGUAGCGGUGAAAUGCGUAGAUAUCUGGAGGAACACCGGUGGCGAAGGCGGCAUCCUGGACCGGUAUUGACGCUGAUGCGCGAAAGCCAGGGGAGCAAACGGG
Molecule: ribosomal RNA, 253 nt
Filed under: uncultured bacterium
Lineage: Bacteria
Description: partial 16S ribosomal RNA
Rfam family: Bacterial small subunit ribosomal RNA
Source: RNAcentral